UAUUGGGACCAGGUCCCGUAACAGCCUGCCUGCUUACCGUCUGCUCCCAUCCCUGGGGAAAGCAAGGGAGCUCGGGGUCCUAGGACCUGACCUCAGCGCUCACCCCCACCAGCACCACAGUCACCAGGACUCUGUGACUCAGUUUACCCCACGAGAGCCCCUGGGAUUCCCAGGGCAUCAGAAGGCCCAUCAGCCUCCCGUGAACUGCUGGGGUGGGCCUGGCCUUGGGACGCGGGUGCAGGGGCCUCUCCUCACUGCCCCAUGGCACCCACAGCCAGUGCCAGAGCCUGCUGCAGCCCCGACCCGGCAGAGCAAGCGGCUCUGCUACCUCAGCCACGUAGCUGAUGGCAUCCUUCAGGUUCAGCUCGUGGAAGACAUUCAGGAUCCGGUCUCGAGACUUCUGGGCCGACCGUCUCAUGAGGACCCUGCUGAGGAACUUCCUGUCGAAGUGGGACCACCUGUAGGGACAGACCUUGGGUGUGAGCCUCAGGUGACAGGCGCCCUAGAGCCCGCCGGACGCGUGGCCCGGCCCCUUCUCUCCUGAAUUUUGUUUGCUAUAGUGACCCUGUAGGCGCGUUUAAAAUGAGGGAAGCAGCCCCUGCCACACGCCCAGGCCGUCCGCCGUUCUCCCGCCUGUCCUGUUGGAUGGAGGCCGUUAGACGCAUAUGAAACUGCAUGCCGCCUCCUCCAGAGGGUGGCUCAGGACACGCCUAACGGAAUUAGAGUAUUCGCUGGUUAUCCAGAUCAGAAGGGACGGUGGCCUGGCCGGACUUAGAGGAAACUCUGGGGCACAAGGAGGUGAUGCCUGUCACUUGGACAUGGGUGCAGCCGCCAGAGCCGCCCUCCAGGGCACAGGGUGGGCCCGGGUGAGCUUGUGUGCUCACACCUGGGCAGGCCCCGCGGCAGCAAUGGCAGCUCUCCUGUACAGGCUGAGUUUCAGCCACACCAAG
Molecule: long non-coding RNA, 950 nt
Filed under: Homo sapiens (human)
Lineage: Eukaryota; Metazoa; Chordata; Mammalia; Primates; Hominidae
Description: SLC9A3 antisense RNA 1
Source: RNAcentral